This 206-nucleotide unclassified non-coding RNA is filed under the name uncultured fungus. RNAcentral's name for it is "sequence contains ITS1". Lineage: Eukaryota; Fungi. The record is from RNAcentral.
GUACAUUAGUGCUUGCGCACGACAAACGUUUUCAUUCCAUUCGAGUGUGUGUGUAAAAUUCCUCUGCCGGCCGAAGCUAGCAAGAGGCCAAAGGUUCACAGGGGUAUUGGAUGAAAGCCACCGCCGUGCACUUGCCAGUUCUGGCCAGCACAGACGGCAACCAUUCGUAAUCAUUAAUGAUCCUUCCGCAGGUUCACCUACGGAAA